RNAcentral lists this ribosomal RNA (466 nucleotides) under uncultured bacterium. Its description in RNAcentral is "partial 16S ribosomal RNA". It matches the Rfam family "Bacterial small subunit ribosomal RNA", at positions 28 to 507 of the family's 1533-position model. The record is from RNAcentral.
GAUGAACGCUGGCGGCGUGCUUAACACAUGCAAGUCGAACGGAAAGGCUCCUGCUUGCAGUGGUACUCGAGUGGCGAACGUGUGAGUAACACGUGGGUGAUCUUCCCUGCACUUCGGGAUAUGCUUGGGAAACUGGUUCUAAUACCUGAUAGGACCGCAUUUUGGAUGGUGUGGUGGAAAGUUUUUUCGGUGUGGGAUGAGCUCGCGGCCUAUCAGCUUGUUGGUGGGGUAAUGGCCUACCAAGGCGUCGACGGGUAUCCGGCCUGAGAGGGUGUACGGCCACAUUGGGACUGAGAUACGGACCAGACGCGUACGGGAGGCAGCAGUGGGGAGUAUUGCACAAUGGGCGCAAGACUGAGGAAGAGACGCCGGGUGGGGGAAGAAGGCCUUCGGGUUGUAAACUGCUUUCGCUAGGGACGAAGAGUAAUUGACGGUACCUGGAGAAGAAGCACCGGCUAACUACGUG